UUGCUUGUAUGAUGAUUUAAGUGAUGUUUGUAGGGACAUCUGAGUAUUUGAUGAGCCAACAUCUCUGACAAGUAA
Small nucleolar RNA from Sinocyclocheilus grahami, 75 nucleotides. NCBI's taxonomy places the organism in Eukaryota, Metazoa, Chordata, Actinopteri, Cypriniformes, Cyprinidae. The record is from Ensembl.